RNAcentral lists this ribosomal RNA (252 nucleotides) under uncultured bacterium. RNAcentral's name for it is "partial 16S ribosomal RNA". It matches the Rfam family "Bacterial small subunit ribosomal RNA", at positions 524 to 776 of the family's 1533-position model. The record is from RNAcentral.
UACAGAGGGUGCAAGCGUUAAUCGGAAUUACUGGGCGUAAAGCGUGCGUAGACGGUUAUGUAAGUCAGGUGUGAAAGCCCCGGGCUCAACCUGGGAAUGGCAUUUGAGACUGCAUAGCUAGGGUGCGGAAGAGGGAAGCGGAAUUUCCGGUGUAGCGGUGAAAUGCGUAGAUAUCGGAAGGAACAUCAGUGGCGAAAGCGGCUUCCUGGUCCAGCACCGACGUCAGGCACGAAAGCGUGGGGAGCAAACAGG